RNAcentral lists this ribosomal RNA (500 nucleotides) under uncultured bacterium. RNAcentral's name for it is "partial 16S ribosomal RNA". It matches the Rfam family "Bacterial small subunit ribosomal RNA", at positions 29 to 523 of the family's 1533-position model. The record is from RNAcentral.
AUUGAACGCUAGCGGGAUGCCUUACACAUGCAAGUCGAACGGCAGCGCGGACUUCGGUCUGGCGGCGAGUGGCGAACGGGUGAGUAAUGUAUCGGAACGUGCCCAGUAGCGGGGGAUAACUACUCGAAAGAGUAGCUAAUACCGCAUACGCCCUACGGGGGAAAGGGGGGGAUCGCAAGACCUCUCACUAUUGGAGCGGCCGAUAUCGGAUUAGCUAGUUGGUGAGGUAAAGGCUCACCAAGGCGACGGUCCGUAGCUGGGUUGAGAGGACGCCCAGCAACACUGGGACUGAGAAACGGCCCAGACUCCUGCGGGAGGCAGCAGUGGGGAAGUUUGGACAAUGGGGGAGACCCUGCUCCAGCCAUUCGGCGUGUGCGAUGAAGGCCUUCGGGUUGUAAAGCACUUUUGGCAGGAAAGAAAUCGCACGGAUUAAUACUCUGUGUGGAUGACGGUACCUGCAGAAUAAGCACCGGCUAACUACGUGCCAGCCGCCGCCGUAA